This 520-nucleotide ribosomal RNA is filed under the name uncultured Gemmatimonadota bacterium. RNAcentral describes it as "SSU rRNA". It matches the Rfam family "Bacterial small subunit ribosomal RNA", at positions 242 to 777 of the family's 1533-position model. Lineage: Bacteria; Pseudomonadati; Gemmatimonadota. The record is from RNAcentral.
CAGCUAGUUGGUGAGGUCAUGGCUCACCAAGGCGACGACGGGUAGCUGGUCCGAGAGGAUGACCAGCCACAUUGGGACUGAGACACGGCCCAGACUCCUACGGGAGGCAGCAGUGGGGAAUAUUGCGCAAUGGGCGAAAGCCUGACGCAGCGACGCCGCGUGUGGGAUGACGGCCUUCGGGUUGUAAACCACUGUCGCGAGGGACGAAGAUCUGACGGUACCUCGAAAGGAAGCACCGGCUAACUCUGUGCCAGCAGCCGCGGUAAUACAGAGGGUGCGAGCGUUGUCCGGAAUCACUGGGCGUAAAGGGCGCGUAGGUGGCCUGGUAAGUAGGGGGUGAAAUCUCGAGGCUCAACUUCGAGGCUGCCUCCUAAACUGUCAGGCUUGAGCAGAGUAGAGGCAGGUGGAAUUCCCGGUGUAGCGGUGGAAUGCGUAGAGAUCGGGAAGAACAUCGGUGGCGAAAGCGGCCUGCUGGGCUCUUGCUGACACUGAGGCGCGACAGCGUGGGGAGCAAACAGGA